AACGUAGGAGGCGAGCGUUAUCCGGAUUUACUGGGUGUAAAGCGCAUGCAGGCGGUUUGUUAAGUUGGGUGUGAAAGCUCCUGGCUAAACUGGGAGAGGUCGCUCAAGACUGGCAGACUAGAGAGUGGUAGGGGAAGGUGGAAUUCCAGGUGUAGUGGUGAAAUGCGUAGAUAUCUGGAGGAACACCAGUGGCGAAAGCGGCCUUCUAGGCCACGACUGACGCUCAGAUGCGACAGCUAGGGUAG
This 245-nucleotide ribosomal RNA is filed under the name uncultured bacterium. RNAcentral's name for it is "partial 16S ribosomal RNA". It matches the Rfam family "Bacterial small subunit ribosomal RNA", at positions 524 to 768 of the family's 1533-position model. The record is from RNAcentral.